CAGCCGGGGAAGGAUCGGCCGUGGCAACAGCCUGAUAGCCACGUAGCGAAUCGGACGCUGAAGGCAGGGCAACCGCUUCAGUGAAAGCUCCGAGGAUAAAGUCCCCGCCGUCGCAAGACGGGACCGCCCAGGGGGGCGAGCAAGUGACCGGGCCGCAACAUAA
Molecule: non-coding RNA, 163 nt
Organism: Limnochorda pilosa
Lineage: Bacteria; Bacillati; Bacillota; Limnochordia; Limnochordales; Limnochordaceae
Source: Rfam